RNAcentral lists this microRNA precursor (87 nucleotides) under Microcebus murinus (gray mouse lemur). RNAcentral's name for it is "miRNA (ENSMICG00000033932.2)". Lineage: Eukaryota; Metazoa; Chordata; Mammalia; Primates; Cheirogaleidae. The record is from RNAcentral.
ACCUUCCUGAGAGAGGUUGGGGCAGGCAGUGACUGUUCAGACGUCCAGUUUCUUUGGGACACCUCUUCAGCGCUGUCGCCCCUGCCU